Molecule: small nucleolar RNA, 90 nt
Organism: Phragmites australis (common reed)
Lineage: Eukaryota; Viridiplantae; Streptophyta; Magnoliopsida; Poales; Poaceae
Product: small nucleolar RNA Z159/U59
Exons: 1
Source: RefSeq, a predicted model, not a curated record
AUCUCCGAUGAUGAUGUAAAAUGAUUAACUUUCGUUCUUCUGAAAUUCGCGGUGUGGAAGAACAAAUUUGGAGACCUGAGCUGAGGAAAU